This 253-nucleotide ribosomal RNA is filed under the name uncultured bacterium. RNAcentral's name for it is "partial 16S ribosomal RNA". It matches the Rfam family "Bacterial small subunit ribosomal RNA", at positions 524 to 776 of the family's 1533-position model. The record is from RNAcentral.
UACAUAGGGUGCGAGCGUUAAUCGGAAUUACUGGGCGUAAAGCGUGCGUAGGCGGUUAUUUAAGUCGGGUGUGAAAGCCCCGGGCUCAACCUGGGAAUUGCAUUCGAGACUGAAUAGCUAGGGUACGGUAGAGGGAAGCGGAAUUUCCGGUGUAGCGGUGAAAUGCGUAGAUAUCAAGAGGAACACCUGAGGUGAAGACGGGUUGCUGGGCUGACACUGACGCUGAGGCGCGAAAGCCAGGGGAGCAAACAGG